UACGUAGGGUGCAAGCGUUGUCCGGAAUUAUUGGGCGUAAAGAGCUCGUAGGCGGUCUGUCGCGUCGGCUGUGAAAUCCCGAGGCUCAACCUCGGGUCUGCAGUCGAUACGGGCAAACUGGAGUACUGCAGGGGAGACUGGAAUUCCUGGUGUAGCGGUGAAAUGCGCAGAUAUCAGGAGGAACACCGGUGGCGAAGGCGGGUCUCUGGGCAGUAACUGACGCUGAGGAGCGAAAGCGUGGGGGAGCGAACAGG
RNAcentral lists this ribosomal RNA (254 nucleotides) under uncultured bacterium. RNAcentral's name for it is "partial 16S ribosomal RNA". It matches the Rfam family "Bacterial small subunit ribosomal RNA", at positions 524 to 776 of the family's 1533-position model. The record is from RNAcentral.